CCUACGGGCGGCAGCAGUUAGGAAUAUUGGGCAAUGGAGGAAACUCUGACCCAGCAACGCCGCGUGAAGGAAGAAGGUUUUCGGAUUGUAAACUUCUGAUCUGUGGGAAGAAGACAAUGACGGUACCACAGGAGAAAGCCACGGCUAACUACGUGCUAGCAGCCGCGGUAAUACGUAGGUGGCGAGCGGUGUCCGGAAUAACUGGGCGAAAAGGGUGCGUAGAUGGCAUAGUAAGUCUUUUGUAAAAAUGCUGGGCUAAACCCAGUAGGGCAAAAGAUACUGCAAAGCUAGAGUAUGACAGAGGCAAGUGGAACUACAUGUGUAGCGGUAAAAUGCGUAAAUAUAUGUAAGAACACUAGUGGCGAAGGCGGCUUGCUGGGUCGAUACUGACAUUGAGGCACGAAAGCGUGGGGAGCAAACAGGAUUAGAUACCCGAGUAGUC
RNAcentral lists this ribosomal RNA (442 nucleotides) under uncultured bacterium. Its description in RNAcentral is "partial 16S ribosomal RNA". It matches the Rfam family "Bacterial small subunit ribosomal RNA", at positions 338 to 795 of the family's 1533-position model. The record is from RNAcentral.